UACGUAGGUGGCGAGCGUUGUCCGGAUUUACUGGGCGUAAAGGGCUUGUAGGCGGUCCGUUAAGUCUGGUGUGAAAUCUCCCGGCUCAACUGGGAGGGGUCAUCGGAUACUGGCGGACUUGAGGGGGGUAGAGGAAAGCAGAAUUCCUGGUGUAGCGGUGAAAUGCGUAGAUAUCAGGAGGAAUACCAGUGGCGAAGGCGGCUUUCUGGGCCUACCCUGACGCUGAGGAGCGAAAGCGUGGGGAGCAAACCGG
RNAcentral lists this ribosomal RNA (253 nucleotides) under uncultured bacterium. RNAcentral's name for it is "partial 16S ribosomal RNA". It matches the Rfam family "Bacterial small subunit ribosomal RNA", at positions 524 to 776 of the family's 1533-position model. The record is from RNAcentral.